AACGAACGCUGGCGGCAUGCCUAACACAUGCAAGUCGAACGAGACCUUCGGGUCUAGUGGCGCACGGGUGCGUAACGCGUGGGAAACUGCCCUUAGGUUCGGAAUAACUCCCCGAAAGGGGUGCUAAUACCGGAUAAUGUCUUCGGACCAAAGAUUUAUCGCCUUUGGAUGGGCCCGCGUUGGAUUAGCUAGUUGGUAGGGUAAAAGCCUACCAAGGCGACGAUCCAUAGCUGGUCUGAGAGGAUGAUCAGCCACACUGGGACUGAGACACGGCCCAGACUCCUACGGGAGGCAGCAGUGGGGAAUAUUGGACAAUGGGCGAAAGCCUGAUCCAGCAAUGCCGCGUGAGUGAUGAAGGCCUUAGGGUUGUAAAGCUCUUUUACCCGGGAUGAUAAUGACAGUACCGGGAGAAGAAGCUCCGGCUAACUCCGU
This 432-nucleotide ribosomal RNA is filed under the name uncultured bacterium. RNAcentral describes it as "partial 16S ribosomal RNA". It matches the Rfam family "Bacterial small subunit ribosomal RNA", at positions 29 to 506 of the family's 1533-position model. The record is from RNAcentral.